AUCAUAACUGAAUGCAUUGAGUGUGGUCAUCAAGGAACUUCCACGUGAACUUUCCCAAAAGCUCUAGAGAUUGUCUGCUUGCCAAUUGUUACUUCUUUACAGUGUUAUGCAGGAGAGAAGAUCAAGGAGAGCAUACAAUCAUGUGGAAAAUGAAAAAUGAGCUUAUAGGAAACUGGUGUGAGCUAUGAUGAUGGAUGGUUUUGCAGUACACAAGAACGUUAAGCUAUGUGGUACUCACGAAGUGCAUUGAUGUGAAUAAGACCUGGCGACUGCUUUAAAGCAUUUUAAUUGCAUCGUGGAUAUGCAUUGGU
This is a long non-coding RNA of Musa acuminata AAA Group (dessert banana), 311 nucleotides long. RefSeq lists it as uncharacterized. Lineage: Eukaryota; Viridiplantae; Streptophyta; Magnoliopsida; Zingiberales; Musaceae. The transcript is spliced from 3 exons. The record is from RefSeq and is a predicted model, not a curated record.